RNAcentral lists this transfer RNA (72 nucleotides) under Pangasianodon hypophthalmus (striped catfish). It matches the Rfam family "tRNA". From Rfam's summary of the family: Transfer RNA (tRNA) molecules are approximately 80 nucleotides in length. Their secondary structure includes four short double-helical elements and three loops (D, anti-codon, and T loops). Further hydrogen bonds mediate the characteristic L-shaped molecular structure. tRNAs have two regions of fundamental functional importance: the anti-codon, which is responsible for specific mRNA codon recognition, and the 3' end, to which the tRNAs corresponding amino acid is attached (by aminoacyl-tRNA synthetases). tRNAs cope with the degeneracy of the genetic code in two manners: having more than one tRNA (with a specific anti-codon) for a particular amino acid; and 'wobble' base-pairing, i.e. permitting non-standard base-pairing at the 3rd anti-codon position. The record is from Rfam by way of RNAcentral. Lineage: Eukaryota; Metazoa; Chordata; Actinopteri; Siluriformes; Pangasiidae.
UCCCUGGAGGACUAGUGGUUAGGCCUCGGUGCUCUUGCUGCUGUGGCCCGGGUUCGAUUCCUGGCCAGGGAA